RNAcentral lists this ribosomal RNA (378 nucleotides) under uncultured bacterium. RNAcentral describes it as "partial 16S ribosomal RNA". It matches the Rfam family "Bacterial small subunit ribosomal RNA", at positions 338 to 732 of the family's 1533-position model. The record is from RNAcentral.
CCUACGGGAGGCAGCAGUGGGGAAUAUUGCACAAUGGGGGAAACCCUGAUGCAGCAACGCCGCGUGAAGGAAGACGGUUUUCGGAUUGUAAACUUCUGUUCUCAGUGAAGAAUAAUGACGGUAGCUAAGGACCAAGCCACGGCUAACCACGUGCCAGCAGCCGCGGCAAUACGCAGGCGGCAAGCGUUGUCCGGAAUUACUGGGUGUAAAGGGAGCGCAGGCGGGAAGCCAAGUCAGCUGUGAAAACUACGGGCUUAACUUGUAAACUGCAGUUGAAACUGGUUUUCUUGAGUGAAGUAGAGGUUGGCGGAAUUCCGGGUGUAGGAGUGAAAUGCGUAGAUAUUCGGAGGAACACCGGUGGCGAAGGCGACCAACUGG